CAGUCGCCGCGGUAAUACGAAGGGGGCUAGCGUUGUUCGGAAUUACUGGGCGUAAAGCGCACGUAGGCGGAUACUUAAGUCAGGGGUGAAAUCCCAGAGCUCAACUCUGGAACUGCCUUUGAUACUGGGUAUCUUGAGUAUGGAAGAGGUGAGUGGAAUUCCGAGUGUAGAGGUGAAAUUCGUAGAUAUUCGGAGGAACACCAGUGGCGAAGGCGGCUCACUGGUCCAUUACUGACGCUGAGGUGCGAAAGCGUGGGGAGCAAACAGGAUUAGAUACCCCCGUAGUCCCUGUCUCUUAUAC
Molecule: ribosomal RNA, 301 nt
Filed under: uncultured bacterium
Lineage: Bacteria
Description: partial 16S ribosomal RNA
Rfam family: Bacterial small subunit ribosomal RNA
Source: RNAcentral